AAGACCUUGUGCUUUUGGAGCGGCCGAUGCCUGAUUAGCUUGUUGGUAAGGUAAAAGCUUACCAAGGCUUCGAUCAGUAGCUGGUCUGAGAGGACGACCAGCCACACUGGGACUGAGACACGGCCCAGACUCCUACGGGAGGCAGCAGUGGGGAAUUUUGGACAAUGGGGGCAACCCUGAUCCAGCCAUGCCGCGUGAGUGAAGAAGGCCUUCGGGUUGUAAAGCUCUUUCAGCCGGAACGAAACGGUUACGGAUAAUACCCGUGACUACUGACGGUACCGGAAGAAGAAGCACCGGCUAACUACGUGCCAGCAGCCGCGGUAAUACGUAGGGUGCAAGCGUUAAUCGGAAUUACUGGGCGUAAAGCGUGUGCAGGUGGUUUUGUAAGUCAGAUGUGAAAGCCCCGGGCUCAACCUGGGAACU
Molecule: ribosomal RNA, 423 nt
Filed under: uncultured bacterium
Lineage: Bacteria
Description: bacterial SSU rRNA
Rfam family: Bacterial small subunit ribosomal RNA
Source: RNAcentral